CGUGGCGGCUGCUUACCAUGCAGUCGAACGAUGAAGACCGGUGCUUGCACUGGUUGGAUUAGUGGCGAACGGGUGAGUAAUACGUGAGUAACCUGCCUUUGACUCUGGGAUAAGCCUUGGAAACGAGGUCUAAUACCGGAUACGACUAACCUUCGCAUGAAGUGUUAGUGGAAAGGGUUUGUACUGGUUUUAGAUGGGCUCACGGCCUAUCAGCUUGUUGGUGAGGUAAUGGCUCACCAAGGCGACGACGGGUAGCCGGCCUGAGAGGGUGACCGGCCACACUGGGACUGAGACACGGCCCAGACUCCUACGGGAGGCAGCAGUGGGGAAUAUUGCACAAUGGGCGCAAGCCUGAUGCAGCGACGCCGCGUGAGGGAUGACGGCCUUCGGGUUGUAAACCUCUUUCAGCAGGGGAGAAGCGAAAGUGACGGUACCUGCAGAAGAAGCGCCGGCUAACUACGUGCCAGCAGCCGCGGUAAUACGUAGGGCGCGAGCGUUGUCCGGAAUUAUUGGGCGUAAAGAGCUUGUAGGCGGUUUGUCGCGUCUGCUGUGAAAGCCCGGGGCUUAACUCCGGGUUUGCAGUGGGUACGGGCUAACUAGAGUGCAGUAGGGGAGACUGGAAUUCCUGGUGUAGCGGUGGAAUGCGCAGAUAUCAGGAGGAACACCGAUGGCGAAGGCAGGUCUCUGGGCUGUAACUGACGCUGAGAAGCGAAAGCAUGGGGAGCGAACAGGAUUAGAUACCCUGGUAGUCCAUGCCGUAAACGUUGGGCACUAGGUGUGGGGGACAUUCCACGUUUUCCGCGCCGUAGCUAACGCAUUAAGUGCCCCGCCUGGGGAGUACGGUCGCAAGGCUAAAACUCAAAGAAAUUGACGGGGGCCCGCACAAGCGGCGGAGCAUGCGGAUUAAUUCGAUGCAACGCGAAGAACCUUACCAAGGCUUGACAUAUAC
RNAcentral lists this ribosomal RNA (949 nucleotides) under Rothia terrae. Its description in RNAcentral is "bacterial SSU rRNA". It matches the Rfam family "Bacterial small subunit ribosomal RNA", at positions 38 to 991 of the family's 1533-position model. The record is from RNAcentral. Lineage: Bacteria; Bacillati; Actinomycetota; Actinomycetes; Micrococcales; Micrococcaceae.